UUUGAGGGGAAUGUUGUCUGGCUCGAGGUGCAUGCAGAAACCUUUGAUCAGGUUAAUUUGAUCUGUAGAUCGAUAUUGAUCUCGGACCAGGCUUCAUUCCCCUCAAG
This 107-nucleotide microRNA precursor is filed under the name Oryza brachyantha (malo sina). Its description in RNAcentral is "pre miRNA mir-166". It matches the Rfam family "mir-166 microRNA precursor family". From Rfam's summary of the family: This family represents the plant microRNA (miRNA) precursor mir-166. Animal miRNAs are transcribed as ~70nt precursors and subsequently processed by the Dicer enzyme to give a ~22nt product. Lineage: Eukaryota; Viridiplantae; Streptophyta; Magnoliopsida; Poales; Poaceae. The record is from Rfam by way of RNAcentral.